RNAcentral lists this ribosomal RNA (253 nucleotides) under uncultured bacterium. Its description in RNAcentral is "partial 16S ribosomal RNA". It matches the Rfam family "Bacterial small subunit ribosomal RNA", at positions 524 to 776 of the family's 1533-position model. The record is from RNAcentral.
UACGUAGGGCGCAAGCGUUGUCCGGAAUUAUUGGGCGUAAAGAGCUCGUAGGCGGUUCGUCACGUCGGCUGUGAAAACCUGAGGCUCAACCUCAGGCCUGCAGUCGAUACGGGCGGACUUGAGUACUGCAGGGGAGACUGGAAUUCCUGGUGUAGCGGUGAAAUGCGCAGAUAUCAGGAGGAACACCGGUGGCGAAGGCGGGUCUCUGGGCCGGUACCGACGCUGAGGAGCGAAAGCGUGGGGAGCGAACAGG